CAUCGAUGAAGAACGCAGCGAAAUGCGAUAAGUAAUGUGAAUUGCAGAAUUCAGUGAAUCAUCGAAUCUUUGAACGCACAUUGCGCCCGCCAGCAUUCUGCGGGCAUGCCUGUUCGAGCGUCA
RNAcentral lists this ribosomal RNA (123 nucleotides) under Colletotrichum orbiculare MAFF 240422. Its description in RNAcentral is "5.8S ribosomal RNA". It matches the Rfam family "5.8S ribosomal RNA", at positions 31 to 154 of the family's 154-position model. Rfam says of the family: 5.8S ribosomal RNA (5.8S rRNA) is a component of the large subunit of the eukaryotic ribosome. It is transcribed by RNA polymerase I as part of the 45S precursor that also contains 18S and 28S rRNA. Functionally, it is thought that 5.8S rRNA may be involved in ribosome translocation. The record is from Rfam by way of RNAcentral. Lineage: Eukaryota; Fungi; Ascomycota; Sordariomycetes; Glomerellales; Glomerellaceae.